Molecule: ribosomal RNA, 430 nt
Filed under: Pseudomonadota bacterium
Lineage: Bacteria; Pseudomonadati; Pseudomonadota
Description: Proteobacteria bacterium partial 16S ribosomal RNA
Rfam family: Bacterial small subunit ribosomal RNA
Source: RNAcentral
UGGGGAAUAUUGGACAAUGGGGGGAACCCUGAUCCAGCCAUGCCGCGUGUGUGAAGAAGGCCUUAUGGUUGUAAAGCACUUUAAGCGAGGAGGAGGGUACUGGUAUUAAUACUACCAGGUACUGGACGUUACUCGCAGAAUAAGCACCGGCUAACUCUGUGCCAGCAGCCGCGGUAAUACAGAGGGUGCGAGCGUUAAUCGGAUUUACUGGGCGUAAAGCGUGCGUAGGCGGCUAAUUGAGUCGGAUGUGAAAGCCCCGGGCUCAACCUGGGAACUGCAUCCAAAACUGGCGAGCUAGAGUAGGGCAGAGGGUGGUGGAAUUUCCUGUGUAGCGGUGAAAUGCGUAGAUAUAGGAAGGAACACCAGUGGCGAAGGCGACCACCUGGGCUCAUACUGACACUGAGGUGCGAAAGCGUGGGGAGCAAACAGG